Molecule: unclassified non-coding RNA, 281 nt
Filed under: Hevea brasiliensis (rubber tree)
Lineage: Eukaryota; Viridiplantae; Streptophyta; Magnoliopsida; Malpighiales; Euphorbiaceae
Source: RNAcentral
UUCAGUUUCUCCUUCUGAAGUCAUUACUACCCAAAGAUGAUGCUGAUGAGAGGGACUGCAUUCUUGAAGUGAGGGCAGGAACUGGAGGGGAAGAGGCUUCCUUAUUUGCGAUGGACAUAUUCAAAAUGUAUGAAAAAUACUCUGUGAAAAAAGGCUGGAAGUAUGAGGUUCUAGAAACAGCUGAGUCUGAUCUUAAAGGAUACAAGGAAGCUAUUGCUUCUAUCUCUGGAGCUGGUGUGUACGGGAAACUAAAAUUUGAGAGUGGAAUACACAGAGUUCAG